This 490-nucleotide ribosomal RNA is filed under the name uncultured bacterium. RNAcentral's name for it is "partial 16S ribosomal RNA". It matches the Rfam family "Bacterial small subunit ribosomal RNA", at positions 30 to 507 of the family's 1533-position model. The record is from RNAcentral.
AUUGAACGCUGGCGGCAGGCCUAACACAUGCAAGUCGAACGGUAACGGGAAGCAGCUUGCUGCUUUGCUGACGGGUGGCGGACGGGUGAGUAAUGUCUGGGAAACUGCCGGAUGGAGGGGGAUAACUACUGGAAACGUUAGCUAAUACCGCAUAACGUCGCAAGACCAAAGAGGGGGACCUUAGGGCCUCUUGCCAUCGGAUGUGCCCAGAUGGGAUUAGCUAGUAGGUGGGGUAACGGCUCCCCUAGGCGACGAUCCCUAGCUGGUCUGAGAGGAUGACCAGCCACACUGGAACUGAGACACGGUCCAGACUCCUACGGGAGGCAGCAGUGGGGAAUAUUGCACAAUGGGCGCAAGCCUGAUGCAGCCAUGCCGCGUGUAUGAAGAAGGCCUUCGGGUUGUAAAGUACUUUCAGCGGGGAGGAAGGGAGUAAAGUUAAUACCUUUGCUCAUUGACGUUACCCGCAGAAGAAGCACCGGCUAACUCCGUG